RNAcentral lists this transfer RNA (66 nucleotides) under Leofa pulchella. RNAcentral describes it as "tRNA-Asp". Lineage: Eukaryota; Metazoa; Arthropoda; Insecta; Hemiptera; Cicadellidae. The record is from RNAcentral.
UGAAAGUUAGUUUAUAUAAAACAUAAAUUUGUCAAACUUAAGAUACUUAAAUUAAAGUACUUUCAU